ACAGCAGUAGCCGCGGUAAUACGGAGGGGGCUAGCGUUGUUCGGAAUUACUGGGCGUAAAGCGCACGUAGGCGGCUUGGUAAGUUAGAGGUGAAAGCCUGGAGCUCAACUCCAGAAUUGCCUUUAAGACUGCCGAGCUAGCAGGUGAGAGAGGUAAGUGGAAUUCCAAGUGUAGAGGUGAAAUUCGUAGAUAUUCGGAAGAACACCAGUGGCGAAGGCGGCUUACUGGCUCAUACUGGACGCUGAGGUGCGAAAGCGUGGGGAGCAAACAGGAUUAGAUACCCCCGUAGUCCCUGUCUCUUAUAC
This 305-nucleotide ribosomal RNA is filed under the name uncultured bacterium. RNAcentral describes it as "partial 16S ribosomal RNA". It matches the Rfam family "Bacterial small subunit ribosomal RNA", at positions 508 to 807 of the family's 1533-position model. The record is from RNAcentral.